AUGUAUCUCUGGCUUCCUUUUUCACUAGACUGUAGAAAUAAUUCUUCUAUAGAUAAUAUUUUGUGCUGUUUCAUGUUAAUCUUAUAUAUAUUCAUCUUCCAGUUUUCAUGUCGGUAUUUCCCCGGAGGAAAAAAAAAAAUCUCAUUAUCUAACCAGAAGAAAAUGAAAUUUAUCUUUGUUUCUAAAUAUACUUCCUCCUGGACAGAUUGAAACAAGCUGGUGUGAUUAUAGUUCCUGUCUCAGCAACUGUAUCUGUCCACAGGCUGACAUUUGCCAUGAUGCCUCCUGUCUAGAAGCACUGAUGAAGAACAUGCCAGUAGACGGAUAUGCCAGGUAAGCAGCAGAGAGAAGAAUUGUCAGGGGAAGAACUGGCUGGAUUAACUGCAGGAACUAGCUCUGAGAUGGCCUUGCCACAUACUUCUAUAAACAAAACUCAUGCGUUUUUCCAUUGGCUGUGUCUCAGUUCUCCUGGAAAAUUCCCUACCUUUCACAGAAUAUGUAGUUUGUAGAGGAAUCCUAAUAUAAAAUAUUAUGUCCUUUUCAUUACCAGCAUCAAGGUUAUGUUGAGUUUGUGUUG
RNAcentral lists this long non-coding RNA (577 nucleotides) under Numida meleagris (helmeted guineafowl). Its description in RNAcentral is "lncRNA (ENSNMEG00000011098.1)". The record is from RNAcentral. Lineage: Eukaryota; Metazoa; Chordata; Aves; Galliformes; Numididae.